UGAUGCUUGUGUAGCUGCUGGGACCGCCCUUUCUGGCUAGCGCCCUCUUAGUUCACCAUGAAAAAAAUGCUGAUUGUUGAGGAAAGGGAGCAGCCUUGCAAGUAGUGUAAGUAGUAGCCGUGCACCUCUGGUUAAUUAAUUUCUGUGCAUUAUUGUCAACUUAUUGAUUUUGUAAUAUCUUGUCGAACUUGAGCUGUCCCGUCGUUGUUUCUGAAUGCUACAUCGGUGUUUCUAUUGCCACUGUGUUCCAAUUAUGCUUUUGGUGGCAUGUGGCACAUAUUUGGUUGGUUAAAAUGAGGACCUAACAAUACGUGCACACCCCUACUAAGUGUACAAUAGAAAUAAAUCUCUUUUUUUUCGAAUCGAUAUAGAGAUAACUCUGUAGUUCACUGUCUUUGUCAUUUUAUAUCAGCUUGUCAUUUCAUACCUUCUGUGCGUGUUGCCUGGAAGAGUUAUUGACAAAUCAAAAUAUAAACAGCACAGCCCGUCUAGCUCAGUUGGUAGAGCGCAAGGCUCUUAACCUUGUGGUCGUGGGUUCGAGCCCCACGGUGGGCGACAUUUCUCCUUUUUUUUUCACUCCCCAGGAAUUGAUUUCCAUGUGCAAUGCACGCAGGAACUUCCCUUUGUUCAGGCUGUAUUCAAAUAGUUUUUUUUUCCGAAAUAGUUCUUGUAUUACUCAAUCAUCAGGGAAUGCUAUCACGUUCCGAACCUGGCCCAAGCCACACAGCAGUUUGAACUUGGGAUCUACCAAAAUUUGCCAAAUCAUGACUAGAAAAAUUCUAAGUACAGUGUAUAUGAGUAAUCCUGAUAUAAGUAUCUAGGGAGAACAUGAGGCUUCUCAGAGCUUAGCCACUCUCGGCCGUUGGAUCGAUUUUUUGAUGCGACUUCGUCCGUCCGAUCUCGCUGCUGGACGAUCCUGGCCGUUGGAUCAAAAAAAAGCACUGCUACAAUGAAUAGUUAGCUCUCGCUCGUGCCAUCGCGGGUAAUUUCCUUGCCCCGCCAUGGGCAUUUUCAUAAUUUCACGCACAGGGGUAUAAAAGGGGCUUCUCCCGUGGAGAUAACCCUAGCCCGCUCGCUCCCACACUCGCGCGCGGCCGCCUGCUCCCCACGCCGCCGCCUCCUCUCCCACUCGCCACCCCCUCUCCUCUUCCCCCCGCCUCGCCUCUUUCUCCCCCUCCAAACCCUAGGCCCGCGCCCGCCUCCCUUCCCCGCCGACGGCCGCCGCCGCCGCCGCUCGCCCGGGCACCCAUCCUCGAGCUCAGGCCGCUCAUCUAGAGAGAAGGAGAUGGGGGUUGCGGGCGACGAGGCUGACGCGCCGUCGUCCCCCGUCCGUCGUCCGCCGUUUGCUCGCUCGCCGCCAUCAGAAAGCGUGGUUGUGAGGGUUUGGUGCCAGGGUCGUUGCUGGGUCCGUGGCUGCUGUUCCUUCAUCAGAUUUGGCCGUCCUUCCUCCUGCAUCUCCGGCUAAGAUCUUGCCAAUCAAAAAAAUUGGACCACAAUUGAUGUACCUUAACGCACAAGGAGAGUCUCAUUGCCACUGCUAGAGCACAUCAACCACCCUUUCGUCUCAGUUUUGAUUUGAAGACCACCACGAUCAUUUGAGAUCUGGAUUGUCUGUACAGAUUUUGUUGGUAGUUGGCAGGUCUGGCCCAUCCACAACAUUUUCUAUCUUCUUUACUUGUAUGCUCAUGAUAAUGUUGUUUCAAAUAUUUUAGAUAUUUCUUUGGGAUAUUGCCUUUAUGCAUAUAUAUCUUACAAACUACUGUCCACAUAAGUUAUCGAGAAAUAAGAACCACGGGAGAAUCUCUAGCGGUAAAUAGAAAACUAAUGAUUUGAUCAACAUUCUAUUGAAGGAGUAGAUCAUCGAUGCUUAUGGCUGCGGGGCUCAUGGAGCCAGAAGAGGCUGUCGGUGCCGGCGACCUUGUCGUCUUUGUCUUGUGCAAAGGUAUCAGAUGAGGGUAUUCGAAGAAGACACCAUGAAUUGGUAUUCGAAAAAGAUACCACCUUUCAUUACAUUGGUAUUCAAAAAAUAUACCACCUUAUGGCCUUUCCUGUUUCCUGUGACUUAAGACUUCCAACUCUUUAACUGGGAUAGUAUCAAAAGAAAAUGAUUUAUGUAACUGGGACACAAUAAAGUAAUUUUGUACAACUAUAUUUUUGUGCACUAGAUAAAAUGUUACUCUGUUUGAAAUAGCACACGAUUUCUCCCUGCUUGAAGUAUGGUUUGUGCUCUCUUCCUCCAUCCCGUGUAUGCGAUUGAUGUCCCCCUCUAAUUGUUUGGUGUUGGAGUCUCUGUAUAAUCAGUGCCUCUUUGCUUAAUCUGCUGACGUAUGCUAUUUACAGUUCCUUCCCCGGCUCCUAACUGAUCUUUAGAGUUACUAUUUAUUAGUAUUUUGUGCUACAACAUAAUUAGUGCCCGGCAAACCCUGUUUACCCUCUUAUGUCACUAUUGUCCAUUGUCAUUCUUUUAUGCAUUAUAACUCAGUUUCAUAUAUCCGCUGCAACAUAAUAUUCUCCAUGGGUUGUUGAAUUGUUUUGCUCCAUACAUCCCAAAAAAACACAGCCUAUUUGCAUUACAUGGUUUUGCUACCUCUUAUGAAAUUGCAUUCACUGUGUUAUGCGGAAAAUUUACUUUGGCCACUCUUUUAAGUGUAUAUUUUCAAUUUCAAGUUUUUCUUUGUAUUACUCUUACGAAAACUCGCUGAGUUUUUUCCUGUGAGCCUGACACAUUGUUUAAUAACUGUUAUAGCUUCAUAACUGUUAUACCCUUCUGAUCUUCUCCUUUUCUUAUGUCAGCUAACCAGUGAGGAUAUAUAUAAAAAGGAUACCACCAAUAGCAUAGCACCCUGCUGCUGUAAUUACAUGUACCUGUUUCAUAUAAUUAUAGUUGCAACUAAUAAGGUCAUCGAUUUUAACGAGGUCCAUAAGAUAAUAAUGUCUCCAUUGAGAUGUGCAAUGAAAUAUCGAAGGACCCUAUCCUUUUGUUUGUGGAUGCAUGAAGUAAUGAUGUCUGGCUAUGGGAGUGUCUCUUCGGAUGUUCUAAGGCAGUUUCCUGUGUCUCUGCUAGCUCCGAUUCUAUUGCGCCCUAUUGUCCGACAUAUGUUUAUUUAUGUGUUUGACCCACGUGUUUAGUUAAUGUUGUUAUGCUGUCGAAGGACAAGCAGAUGUUGCAGACUGUAUGUGACCCUAUGUACCCUCUUCAGCCUGGACAGUGCUGAGGAUGAAUACAAACUUAUAUGUAAUCGGGUGGUGCUUGCUUUACUUAAGACGCCCGCUGUUCUAUUUCUGAUUUCUUGCUUGGUCCUGUAGAUAUCUACCAUAUUGUAGUUAAAGUUUCUGAUGUACACAUGUUUCAGCCAUAAACAUGGAAGCAAUUUGUACCUAUAAAGGAUAUUAUCAUUUGUGAUAUCAGGUUUCUACUAC
Triticum aestivum (bread wheat) is the source of this 3420-nucleotide RNA transcript. RefSeq lists it as uncharacterized. The record is from RefSeq and is a predicted model, not a curated record. The transcript is spliced from 6 exons. NCBI's taxonomy places the organism in Eukaryota, Viridiplantae, Streptophyta, Magnoliopsida, Poales, Poaceae.